AACGAACGCUGGCGGCGUGCUUAACACAUGCAAGUCGAACGCACCGCAAGGUGAGUGGCGCACGGGUGAGUAACGCGUGGGAAUCUACCUUUUGAUUCGGAAUAACAUCGGGAAACUGGUGCUAAUACCGGAUAAGCCCUUCGGGGGAAAGACUUAUCGUCAAAAGAUGAGCCCGCGUUGGAUUAGCUAGUUGGUGAGGUAACGGCUCACCAAGGCGACGAUCCAUAGCUGGUCUGAGAGGAUGAUCAGCCACACUGGGACUGAGACACGGCCCAGACUCCUACGGGAGGCAGCAGUGGGGAAUAUUGGACAAUGGGGGCAACCCUGAUCCAGCAACGCCGCGUGAGUGAUGAAGGUCUUCGGAUUGUAAAGCUCUUUUGGCAGGGACGAUGAUGACGGUACCUGCAGAAUAAGCUCCGGCUAACUUCGUGCCAGCCGCCGCAGUAA
RNAcentral lists this ribosomal RNA (447 nucleotides) under uncultured bacterium. RNAcentral's name for it is "partial 16S ribosomal RNA". It matches the Rfam family "Bacterial small subunit ribosomal RNA", at positions 29 to 523 of the family's 1533-position model. The record is from RNAcentral.